RNAcentral lists this ribosomal RNA (344 nucleotides) under uncultured soil bacterium. Its description in RNAcentral is "bacterial SSU rRNA". It matches the Rfam family "Bacterial small subunit ribosomal RNA", at positions 26 to 354 of the family's 1533-position model. The record is from RNAcentral.
AGAUUGAACGCUGGCGGCAUGCCUUACACAUGCAAGUCGAACGCGAAAGCGGGGCAACCCGCAAGUAGAGUGGCGAACGGGUGAGUAAUACAUCGGAACAUAUCCAGUAGGCGGGGGAUAACCUGUCGAAAGAUAGGCUAAUACCGCAUACGAUCUACGGAUAGAAAGGCGGGGGACCGCAAGGCCUCGCACUAGUUGGAGUGGCCGAUGGUCGGAUUAGCUUAGGUUGGGUAGGGUAAAACGCCUAACCGAAGGCAACGAUCCGUAGCGUGGUCUGGAGAGGACGAUCACGACCACACGUAGGAACUGGAACGACACGGUCCAGACCGUCCGUACGGGAGCAG